RNAcentral lists this ribosomal RNA (253 nucleotides) under uncultured bacterium. RNAcentral describes it as "partial 16S ribosomal RNA". It matches the Rfam family "Bacterial small subunit ribosomal RNA", at positions 524 to 776 of the family's 1533-position model. The record is from RNAcentral.
UACGGGGGGGGCAAGCGUUGUUCGGAAUUACUGGGCGUAAAGGGCUCGUAGGUGGCCAACUAAGUCAGACGUGAAAUCCCUCAGCUUAACUGGGGAACUGCGUCCGAUACUGGGUGGCUUGGAUUUGGGAGAGGGAUGCGGAAUUCCAGGUGUAGCGGUGAAAUGCGUAGAUAUCUGGAGGAACACCGGUGGCGAAGGCGGCAUCCUGGACCAACAUUGACGCUGAGGAGCGAAAGCUAGGGGAGCAAACGGG